This is a small nuclear RNA of Onychomys torridus (southern grasshopper mouse), 106 nucleotides long. The record is from RefSeq and is a predicted model, not a curated record. NCBI's taxonomy places the organism in Eukaryota, Metazoa, Chordata, Mammalia, Rodentia, Cricetidae.
GUGCUUCCUUGGCAGCACAUAUACUAAAUUUAGAACAAUACAGAGAAGAUUAGCAUGGCCCCUGUGCAAGGAUGACACGCAAAUUCGUGAGUUCCAAGAAAGCAGG